Molecule: ribosomal RNA, 502 nt
Filed under: uncultured bacterium
Lineage: Bacteria
Description: bacterial SSU rRNA
Rfam family: Bacterial small subunit ribosomal RNA
Source: RNAcentral
GAUGAACGCUGGCGGCGUGCCUCAAACAUGCAAGUCGAGCGAGGCUAUGAGUUACCGCAAGGUAAGGCAUAGCCUAGCGGCGAACGGGUGAGUAACACGUGGGUAACCUACCUGGAAGACAGGGAUAACGAUUCGAAAGGGUCGCUAAUACCUGAUAAUAUCCAUCUGCCGGAUGGCGGAGGGAAGAAAGGGGAAACCCGCUUUCAGAUGGGGCCCGCGUCCCAUCAGCUAGUUGGUAAGGUAAAGGCUUACCAAGGCGACGACGGGUAGCCGGUCUGAGAGGAUGUACGGCCACACUGGGACUGAGAUACGGCCCAGACUCCUACGGGAGGCAGCAGUAAGGAAUCUUCCACAAUGGGCGCAAGCCUGAUGGAGCAAUGCCGCGUGCAGGAAGACGCUUUUCGGAGUGUAAACUGUCUUUUCUGAAGGAAGAUUAUGACGGUACUUCAGGAAUAAGGAUCGGCUAACUACGUGCCAGCAGCCGACGGUAAAAUAGCGUACU